UACGUAGGUCCCGAGCGUUGUCCGGAUUUAUUGGGCGUAAAGCGAGCGCAGGUGGCUUAUUAAGUCUGGUGUAAAAGGCAGUGGUUCAACCAUUGUAUGCAUUGGAAACUGGUAGACUUGAGUGCAGGAGAGGAGAGUGGAAUUCCAUGUGUAGCGGUGAAAUGCGUAGAUAUAUGGAGGAACACCGGUGGCGAAAGCGGCUCUCUGGCCUGUAACUGACACUGAGGCUCGAAAGCGUGGGGAGCAAACAGG
This 252-nucleotide ribosomal RNA is filed under the name uncultured bacterium. RNAcentral describes it as "partial 16S ribosomal RNA". It matches the Rfam family "Bacterial small subunit ribosomal RNA", at positions 524 to 776 of the family's 1533-position model. The record is from RNAcentral.